This 117-nucleotide ribosomal RNA is filed under the name Desulfobulbaceae bacterium. The record is from RNAcentral. Lineage: Bacteria; Pseudomonadati; Thermodesulfobacteriota; Desulfobulbia; Desulfobulbales; Desulfobulbaceae.
UACGGUGGUCAUAGCGAAGAGGUCACACCCGUUCCCUUUCCGAACACGGAAGUUAAGCUCUUCAGCGCCGAUGGUACUGCAUGGGAGACUGUAUGGGAGAGUAGGUCGCCGCCGGUC